UUUUCUAGCAUUUAAUUAAUUUUUCGCACAAUAGUUUCUACGCCGGAAACUAUUGUGUACCUUUUACCGGAUCUAACCUUACGUUAGAAUCUAGUUUUUUUAUUCCUUCGCUUUAUUUUUCUGCCUGAUUGAAGAACUCAAGAACAAAUCCAACCGGUCUGUGGUGGAGUGUUCAAGACUGCUAUUUAAUUAUUCAGGUUCUAUAUUUAUUUGUUGAAUUUAUAUAUGCUUGUUUUUACUAUUAAUUUAUACUGCUUGCCUGCGAUGAAUCUGUUUAUGCAUGUUAUUUAUUUAAGUCUGUUUAGCAUGUCUGGCUGAUUUAUUUAGGUAUCGGUAUGUAAAGUAAGCGUAAUGAAGGAAUCAAAACUAAGUUGGUUUAAUUAAGUUUAAAAUUAAAAUCACUCUUUUUACGGUCUCAAUUUACAGGUUUAAUAACAAAGUUUUUGUACGAAAGUAAAAGACAUAAAGAAGUUAAAAUCAAUAGAGCGAGAGUUUGAGGUUUUGACUGGACAGUGUAAAUUGGACAUUAAUUCUAGAUCAGGGCGAGA
Molecule: long non-coding RNA, 548 nt
Filed under: Lathyrus oleraceus (garden pea)
Lineage: Eukaryota; Viridiplantae; Streptophyta; Magnoliopsida; Fabales; Fabaceae
Description: Pisum sativum (pea) long non-coding RNA (PSAT_LNC025175)
Source: RNAcentral